CCCUUAGAUGUUCUGGGCCGCACGCGCGCUACACUGAUUCAUGCAACAAGUUUUGUCCUUGGCUGAUAGGCCUGGGUAAUCUUUGAACGUGAAUCGUGAUGGGGAUAGAUGAUUGCAAUUAUUCAUCUUCAACGAGGAAUUCCUAGUAAACGCAAGUCAUCAGCUUGCAUUGAUUACGUCCCUGCCCUUUGUACACACCGCCCGUCGCACCUACCGAUUGAAUGGUCCGGUGAAUCUUUAGGACUGUGGCUGAGGCCUUGCCUUGUGCGGGUCUGGCCGUGGGAAUUUAGUUAAACCUUACCAUUUAGAGGAAGGUGAAGUCGUAACA
This 328-nucleotide ribosomal RNA is filed under the name uncultured eukaryote. RNAcentral describes it as "partial 18S ribosomal RNA". It matches the Rfam family "Eukaryotic small subunit ribosomal RNA", at positions 1470 to 1796 of the family's 1831-position model. The record is from RNAcentral.